UACGUAGGGAGCGAGCGUUGUCCGGAUUUAUUUGGUGUAAGGGUGCGUAGGCGGCCAUGCAAGUCAGGCGUGUAAUCCGGAGGCCUAACCUCCGAACUGCGCUUGAAACUGUUUGGCUUGAGUGGAGUAGAGGCAGAUGGAAUUUCCAGUGUAGCGGUGAAAUGCGUAGAUAUUGGAAGGAGCACCAGUGGCGAAGGCGAUCUGCUGGGCUCUAACUGACGCUGAGGCACGAAAGCAUGGGGAGCAAACA
RNAcentral lists this ribosomal RNA (250 nucleotides) under uncultured prokaryote. RNAcentral's name for it is "partial 16S ribosomal RNA". It matches the Rfam family "Bacterial small subunit ribosomal RNA", at positions 524 to 774 of the family's 1533-position model. The record is from RNAcentral.